Long non-coding RNA from Mauremys reevesii (Reeves's turtle), 1808 nucleotides. RefSeq lists it as uncharacterized. The transcript has 4 exons. Lineage: Eukaryota; Metazoa; Chordata; Testudines; Geoemydidae. The record is from RefSeq and is a predicted model, not a curated record.
UUAAGUAUGUUUACGGUAUACAUUAUCUGUAAAAUCAGACCGGGUCGAGGGGGGGAGUAAAGAUCUUUCUGCGAUAGCCAGGACAUUGUCCUUCUUGACAUCUGUGUUGCUGGUGGACAGGAUAUCCUGCCAAAUGUAAUAAGACAACUGUGUGACCCACCUUGUGAGAGAGGCACCACUAACUGAUUAGAGCACAGCAGGAGUGGGUGCUGAUUCUUCUAGCCCUGUGCUACAUCCUCUACACAGAAAAAAAAGAAGAAGAAAACUCCCUUACAGAAGGGAAAGGAAAGAAAAGGCCCAGUUUAGCAGAGUAACGGAUUAAACCACCUGGCAAUCCUGGCAAGAAAAGAAGAAAAUCUUAGGCUGUGACAAACCAAACCAGGUGUAACAGAUGGAUCCAGUACAAAACCAUACUCUGCAAUGAAACAAUAUCCACCAUUUGCUGCUUUCUAGAGCUGCAACAAAAUGGUGGCAAAGACAAAAUGCACACAUCUUUCUCCCUUCCUUCCACAUGCUCCCUACCUGGUUCAUGAUCCGGACACACUCAGAAUGUCACUUGGUUUUAUUUUUAAUUGUUUUGGGAGAGAGGACUUCUAUAAAGGAUGUGAAAAGAGACACUGUGGUUUGAAAAUUGCAGCUUAUUUCCUUACUAGCAUGAAUACAGAAUGUCAAAGCUAAUUUUCUCGUCAACUUAAACAUUAUCUAAAGAAUUGCAAACGCAGUUGGAUACACAGGACUUGAGCCUCUUCUCACACAGCCUGGUUUGACAGCAGCGUAAAUCCAUUGUCAGAUUUACACCAGAAUAAAUGAGAUCUGAAUCUGGUUCUGAAUUAUUGGAGAGCCAAAGAUCUGAUAGUAAAAAUCCAACUAAAAGUACAUAAAUCUGCAGGUUCUUUUGACCCUGCAGUUCCUGGCACCAUACCAAGUAGAAAUCUGCAGUUGCACUUUCUGUGAUUCUAACACCUUGUUAUCAUUAUGGAACAUAACAAAAGCCUACGUUGAGUUAUCUAAAUGAAAUAAAUCUACUGGACUUCCACUGCUGGAUUUUAUGAGAUGUGUGUAUACAGUAAGAAAGAUAUAUUUAAAAAAAAUCUUUUUACCGAGUUUGAGCACGCAUCUGUUGAAGACAGAGGACCUAAUUCCCAUGUAUGCUAAGGCCACUUUGCACCACCCUGCCCCAAAUUAAGGCCCCUUUAUGCUGUCAGAAUGGUACAAAAGGGCCUAUGGAAAUAAGGCUCAUGACCCAAAAGCGUGAGGGAGAAAUUCUGCUCUCAAAUACACCUUUGUAAAUUUAGAGUAACACCCUUCACUUGAAUGGAAUUACUCCAGUUUUACAAUAAUGCAAAUGAGAACAGAAUUUGGUUCAGCCAAUUAACAAAACUCCGCCUUUUGCUCUAUUUAUUCCAAAAGAAAACUCUAAUAAUCUAAUUCGACAUAUAACAAAAUCAGGUUCCCAAUUAAGACAAAUUCAUAUUUCUUCAUAGCUGUGUUAACGGCUGUAUUCAUUUUAGGAAAUGUGCAUGCUUUAUGAAGUUAGUUUUUAUUUAGUACACGUUAAAAGUAAAAUUCACACACACAGUCCCUGCAUAAAAUCUGAGGGAACAGAUUUGUGUAUGGGAACUGGGUACACAAAAUCUACCCUCCCCACCAAAAAGCAGAGUGGGGACAGCCCCACAAGCCUCUGCAGUAACCCCUGGAUUGUGACCCCUGCAUGCACGCUAUACAGCGGUCUGCGACCACUAGAGCCACAUAACUGCAGAUCCUUUGGCUAUGUCCCUUCCCUUUCUUCAGCUCACCCUUCAAUCCUU